Molecule: ribosomal RNA, 485 nt
Filed under: uncultured bacterium
Lineage: Bacteria
Description: partial 16S ribosomal RNA
Rfam family: Bacterial small subunit ribosomal RNA
Source: RNAcentral
AUUGAACGCUGGCGGCAUGCCUUACACAUGCAAGUCGAACGGCAGCACGGGUGCUUGCACCUGGUGGCGAGUGGCGAACGGGUGAGUAAUACAUCGGAACAUGUCCUGUAGUGGGGGAUAGCCCGGCGAAAGCCGGAUUAAUACCGCAUACGAUCUACGGAUGAAAGCGGGGGACCUUCGGGCCUCGCGCUAUAGGGUUGGCCGAUGGCUGAUUAGCUAGUUGGUGGGGUAAAGGCCUACCAAGGCGACGAUCAGUAGAUGGUCUGAGAGGACGACCAGCCACAGUGGGACUGAGACGCGGCGCAGAAUCCUAAGGGAGGCAGGAGUGGGGAAUCUUGGACAAUGGGCGAAAGCCUGAUCCAGGAAUGCCGCGAGUGUGAAGAAGGCCUACGGGUUGUAAAGCACUUUUGUCCGGAAAGAAAACCUUGGCUCUAACACAGUCGGGGGAUGACGGUACCGGAAGAAUAAGCACCGGCUAACUACGU